UCCAGGGAUGGGGACUCCACCAUUCCCUGGGCAGCCCCUUCCAGUGCCUGACCACCCUUUCCAUGAAGGAAUUCCUCCCUCUGGUCCCGUCCUCCUCAUUCCCUGGGAGCAGAGCCCGACCCUCGGCUGACCCCCCCCCCCAUUCCCGGCAGCGGGAGCGAGCGGGGUGCGGAGGAUGCUGGAAUGCAUAAUACAGCACCAGGGAGCUCAAUAAUUCAUCUGCCACCCAGGAACAGCCGCCUUGCUCCGCUCCCUCUCAUCCAGGCCCUGCUCUCAGCCUUCCAGCAUUCCUGCCCCACGAUGUCCUUAACUUUUGUCACUUUGAGCCGGGCCCGGCGCCUGGAGCGGCUGAUCCGAAGUGACAGGGCUUCCAGCUCCUUUGGAAGUGCCUCCGAGAGAGGGACUAGCAGGGAUUUGACAGGAGUCCAGCUUUGUUCCCUUCCCGGCCCUGCUGCUCCCUGGGGAUGGGAGGCAGGCUGCUGGCUCAGGGAUCCAGAUGAGCCCCAGGUCACCCCAAAUCAGGCCGUGCUCGGUGCUCCAGUGUCCAGGGGGCUUGGCAGCUUCGCCUGCCCCCAUGGAUUGCCCCUUCCCAAAGGCCUGGGCACAGCCCUGUGUUGUUUUUCCCUGGUUGUUGCAGUUGGGGUCUGUGGUGGACGAAUCCAUGGAACUGCCCCGGAGCUCACACCACAAACAGAACGGGAGGGGGUUCUUUUGGGAGGCAAAACAUCCCAGAGCAGGAGGGUUUGGGAGGGAGGGAGGCUGUGGGGGUGACUGGGAGGUGGCACUGACAGAUCCCUGGUCCGACCUGUUCUGGCAUCCUCGUUCCGUGUUUGUCUCCCGUGCCCGUGUCACGCUCCAGCUCCACAGGGCCCUCCUUGUGCUCCUCUGACGGAGAGGAAACAUCUCAGCACAAUGCUUGGCACAGCUGCAGGAAAACAGGCUCAGAAUUCCAGCACCUCGCUCGUGCCGGGACCGCGUGUGCCCGGCACCGCCAGCCCUGGGCUGGGACACGGAGCAGCCCCUUCCCUGCUGCCUCCCUGCUGCUCUGCCUGGCCCAGCUGGGCACCAGACCCACCAUCCCACCCCUGGGGGGGAGCAGGGUCCUGUCCUGGUUGUGCAGGUUGGGAUCUGUGCCCUCAGCUCCCGAGGCUUUGCCUUCCCUGCACAGGGAAGCGUGAGGUGAUCCUGGGGACUGCUCCUGAAACAUCCUGAGGCCCCUUUCCCUGCUUCCAUGACAUCUUUGUGUGGGGUUUGGGGCCCCUUUUGCCUCCUGUCACGGCCUUUCCGUGGGAUUUGCAGCCCCUUUUCCUGCUCCCACGGUGUCUCCAUGAGGUUUGGGGUCCCUUUUCCUUCCGUCACACCGACUCCAUGGGGUUUGCAGCCCCUUUUUCUGCUUCCAUGGCAUCUCCAUGGGGUUUGUGGCCCCUUUUCCUUCUGCCAUGGCAUCCCUGCGAGGUUUGGGGCUCCUUUUUCUGCUGUCACAGCAUUAAAGCCCAUCCAGUCCCACCCCCUGCCAUGGGCUGGGACAC
Molecule: long non-coding RNA, 1529 nt
Filed under: Manacus vitellinus (golden-collared manakin)
Lineage: Eukaryota; Metazoa; Chordata; Aves; Passeriformes; Pipridae
Description: lncRNA (ENSMVIG00005000807.1)
Source: RNAcentral